Molecule: unclassified non-coding RNA, 219 nt
Filed under: uncultured Tomentella
Lineage: Eukaryota; Fungi; Basidiomycota; Agaricomycetes; Thelephorales; Thelephoraceae
Description: partial internal transcribed spacer 2
Source: RNAcentral
ACACCUCAACUCUCAUGGUCCGCCAUGAUGAGCUUGGACUUUGGGGGUAUUGCUGGCCUAACCGUCGGCUCCUCUCAAACGAAUCAGCUUGCCAGUGUUUGGUGGCGUCAUGGGUGUGAUAACUAUCUACGCUCGUGGUCUUCCACCAAGUAACCUUCAGUGAUGGAGGUUCGCUGGAGCUCACAGACGUCUCUCCUCAGGGAAGACAGCUUUUUGAAC